This 195-nucleotide long non-coding RNA is filed under the name Rhinopithecus bieti (black snub-nosed monkey). Its description in RNAcentral is "lncRNA (ENSRBIG00000045637.1)". Lineage: Eukaryota; Metazoa; Chordata; Mammalia; Primates; Cercopithecidae. The record is from RNAcentral.
CAGGACUGUGGCUGAUGUUCAAGGGUUCCAGCCCAGAAUGCCCCCUCUAUGGAAUUAGCACCAUGUGUCCCUGAUGAGCCGGAGGAAUCCAAAACCCAGUCCUGGCAAGGACAACAGAGGCUGGAAACACGGGGAGAUGAUGCAGAACCUGAGGCUCAGAGAGGUCAGGCCAUUGACUUGAGGCUACACAGCUAA